This is a long non-coding RNA of Paramacrobiotus metropolitanus, 299 nucleotides long. RefSeq lists it as uncharacterized. Lineage: Eukaryota; Metazoa; Tardigrada; Eutardigrada; Parachela; Macrobiotidae. The transcript has 3 exons. The record is from RefSeq and is a predicted model, not a curated record.
GUUUGACUCCCGUUUAGACUUCAUAACUUUUUAUAUCUAUAUCUAAUCUAUUUUGGGUCGACCCAUCGUUCAAAGAGUGUGAGAAUGGAAGAGUUGUUUCAAAGUCGCGGGCUCCGUUACCGUCUUGGCUUCAGAAGGUAAUUACCGAAGCGACCAAUGAUGCUCGUAUCGGAAAAGAGGCUCGGCAUUUCGUGUACCGCGCAGUGUGGAGUCGACUCCAGCGAAGUGGGAAAGUGAAGCGCGGAGAAAUGGUAAUUUAUCCAGAAGAGUUUACGCAACAACUGCAAGACUUAUUUCCC